GUGUUUCAACAGGUAAAGAUAAAGUACAACAUUCUGAAAAUAGUGAAUGAUGUGACAAAGGCUAAGGUGGAAAGUGUGGAGGAUGUCUACAGAAGAGUAAGUAGUGACUAGACUGGAAUAUGAGAAGGAAAAGAAAUGUUAUGAGACUAAGGGGCAAAGUAUAGUUGAAGAUAGAGGGCCUUUAAUGACAAGCAAAGAAAUUUAAAAUAAUUAGUAAACAAUGGGGAGUCCUGGAAAGUUUUUUGAGCUGGGAAGUGACAUCAAACUGCAAUAAGGAAAUUAAUUUAACAGUGGUAAUUGGAUCACAAAAAUAUAGUUUAAGAAUCCAAAAAAGAGGCUAUUGCAAUAGUCCUAGAAGUGAUUACAGACUUUCUUAGUGGUGAUGAGAGUAUCAUAGAUAACUAAUAUAUUAAGGUGUGUAGCAAGGGAAUUGUGCAAGGUUGACUGACAGCCUUCAAACCAAGAUUCUACAGAGCUGUCUGGGUCAGCAUUCUAAGACAGGUGGGCAACUGGCAACUGUCUCUCUCAAGCUGGGUGGCAGACAGACUGUGUGUCAAAGUGUCUCCCUGAAGAAACCAACUGUGGAGCUGCCAAGGACUUGGGUUAUCUUUUCAAAGGUUGAGUCAGUGUUCCCUUACACACUGGUGGACUGUGUGAAUGGGUGUGAACCUCCUCCCUUCCUGGACCUUGUGAGGACCCUACAUCUUGAUUCUGCAGUUUGACCCAACCAAGGAUCUAGGAGUUAUGAGGAAACUGAGACCUGGUGAAAUCACCAAGUGAGAGUAAUGAUGGAGAAAAGUUACAGAGAAAUAUGGAGUUGAAACAAAAUUUAUUAUGCCUCAGUUGAACACAGAAAAUCAAGGGGAAGAAGUAUUUCAGAACAAAUGUGCCCACAACAUUGGAAUAGUCAGAUGAAAAUGUAACUGGGAGUUGUUUAACAAAAUGAAAAUGUAAUAGCACGUAAGUCAUAUUACUUUAAAAUUAAGUCAGUAUGUAACUUGCAGAGAUCCUUUUGUAUGGAUGGGCUGACCCAUUUCUGUUUGAGUUUGAUAUCACUGUUCCAUAUAACCUCUCACAUACUGAAAUUCAUACCUUUCUAGCUGAGUAUUCAAAUGUUUUGUUAAGACUGCAAACUGUGCUUAGGCAAGAGUGAAUAGAAUAGAGAAUGUAAACAAAGAAUUCAAUUAAAGCUAGAACGUAAUAGCAAGGCUGACCUUUUGCAAACUAUCUGAAUAAUUCACCCACGAUAAUAAAUGAUUGGCUAAUAUCAUUGCUUUGACAAAUGCUUCCAUCUGAACAUACUGUAUUUCGAAUAUUCACAACAAACAUAAGAGAUACAUUUUUAACAUUGAGACAUCUUGUCUAAAAUUUUGAAGUAACUGGGUGAAAGAGAUUGGCUAUAACUUCUAGUCCCUGGUAACCUAAAAUUGUGAUUUAAAUUAUGCUGGUUUAAAUACAAUAAUAAUUAAACUAAAUUGUUUCUCCUUGGAAAAUAACAUAAUAAUCAUCAAAUGCUAGUUAUUAAAAACCUUCACUGACUUAAUCCUGUACUACACGGUAUGGCUACUUUUAAAAAUGA
This is a non-coding RNA of Monodelphis domestica (gray short-tailed opossum), 1579 nucleotides long. The record is from RefSeq and is a predicted model, not a curated record. NCBI's taxonomy places the organism in Eukaryota, Metazoa, Chordata, Mammalia, Didelphimorphia, Didelphidae.